The sequence is a transfer RNA, 85 nucleotides long. It matches the Rfam family "tRNA". Rfam says of the family: Transfer RNA (tRNA) molecules are approximately 80 nucleotides in length. Their secondary structure includes four short double-helical elements and three loops (D, anti-codon, and T loops). The record is from Rfam.
GGUUCUAUGGUGUAGCGGUUAGCAUAGCGGAUUCUGAUUUCCUUGGAACAUUCCGCCGACCCCGGUUCGAUUCCGGGUAGGACCU